CAAGCGGAGGAGCAUGUGGUUUAAUUCGAUGAUACGCGAGGAACCUUACCUGGGCUCGAACGUAAGAUGACUGUAGGUGAAAGCUUACAUCUCUUCGGAGCAUUUUACGAGGUGCUGCAUGGUUGUCGUCAGCUCGUGCCGUGAGGUGUCGGGUUAAGUCCCAUAACGAGCGCAACCCUACCUUUAGUUGCCAUCAGGUAAUGCUGGGGACUCUAAAGGAACUGCCCACGCAAGUAGUGAGGAAGGCGGGGAUGACGUCAAAUCAGCACGGCCCUUACGUCCAGGGCUACACACGUGCUACAAUGGCCGAUACAGAGGGCAGCUACCUGGUGACAGGAUGCAAAUCUCCAAAGUCGGUCUCAGUUCGGAUCGGAGUCUGCAACCCGACUCCGUGAAGUUGGAUUCGCUAGUAAUCGCGCAUCAGCCAUGGCGCGGUGAAUACGUUCCCGGGCCUU
This 455-nucleotide ribosomal RNA is filed under the name uncultured Sphingobacteriales bacterium. Its description in RNAcentral is "bacterial SSU rRNA". It matches the Rfam family "Bacterial small subunit ribosomal RNA", at positions 926 to 1382 of the family's 1533-position model. The record is from RNAcentral. Lineage: Bacteria; Pseudomonadati; Bacteroidota; Sphingobacteriia; Sphingobacteriales.